GAGCGCCCCGCAAGGGGAGCGGCAGACGGGAGAGUAACACGUGGGAACGUACCCUUCAGUUCGGAACAACCCAGGGAAACUUGGGCUAAUACCGAAUACGUCCGUAAGGAGAAAGAUUUAUCGCUGAAGGAUCGGCCCGCGUCUGAUUAGCUAGUUGGUGAGGUAACGGCUCACCAAGGCUACGAUCAGUAGCUGGUCUGAGAGGAUGAUCAGCCUCACUGGGACUGAGACACGGCCCAGACUCCUACGGGAGGCAGCAGUGGGGAAUAUUGGACAAUGGGCGCAAGCCUGAUCCAGCCAUGCCGCGUGGAUGAUGAAGGCCCUAGGGUUGUAAAGUCCUUUCGGCGGGGAAGAUAAUGACGGUACCCGCAGAAGAAGCCCCGGCUAACUUCGUGCCAGCAGCCGCGGUAAUACGAAGGGGGCUAG
Molecule: ribosomal RNA, 426 nt
Filed under: uncultured forest soil bacterium
Lineage: Bacteria
Description: bacterial SSU rRNA
Rfam family: Bacterial small subunit ribosomal RNA
Source: RNAcentral